CAAUUGGAGAGUUUGAUCCUGGCUCAGAUUGAACGCUGGCGGCAUGCCUAACACAUGCAAGUCGAACGCGAAAGGGGGCAACCCCGAGUAGAGUGGCGGACGGGUGAGUAACGCGUAGGAAUCUGCCCAGUAGUGGGGGAUAACCCGGCGAAAGCCGGGCUAAUACCGCAUAUG
RNAcentral lists this ribosomal RNA (174 nucleotides) under Gammaproteobacteria bacterium. Its description in RNAcentral is "partial 16S ribosomal RNA". It matches the Rfam family "Bacterial small subunit ribosomal RNA", at positions 1 to 177 of the family's 1533-position model. Lineage: Bacteria; Pseudomonadati; Pseudomonadota; Gammaproteobacteria. The record is from RNAcentral.